UUGAAUUAUGUGAACGUUUUUCUGAGCUCUGGAAAUCACUGGUCUGCAAGUAAUUAUCUCCAACAAUACUACUCCGAAGCUAUAAACAUCACUUUUCUCAGUCAGUCUGUUCGAGGUGUAGUAUCUGCAAGUGCGAUAUAAGGAAAUUGGUUUGACUGAAAGUGAUACCUACUCUGGAUCAAAGUAACCAGGAGUGCCAGCCACCGUUGUGGACAUGUGAGUCUUGCUACCAUCAUUUGGGAAACUCUUGGAGAGUCCGAAAUCAGCAAGUUUGGCUUGGAAAUUGUCUGUUAGCAAUAUGUUUGUUGUUUUGACAUCUCUGUGGACUAUGGGGGGCUUACAACCAUGAUGCAGGAGUUUGAGAUUUGGCAAUUUGGACAGAGAAUCAGGCAGUUUUCCUGUUAAGCCAUUGUUUGACAAGUCCCUGAAAUUAAAACUCAAUUUAUUAUAAUUGGUUUUAAGAUGGCAUUGGAGAUCCUAGUUUAGAUAUCAUUUAAAGUAAAGAUACUUACAGAGUUUCUAGGGCUGCUAGAUUGGAUACAUCUGGAGAUAUGUCUCCUGUCAGACCACUUGACGACAAGUUCCUUGAUAUGAUUCUUGGGAUUGACUCAUUGGUACAACCUACACCACUCCAAGGAUAUGCUUUGGGGAUGCAUGGAUCGCCUUGCCAAUCUUUGAUGACUCCAAUGUAAAAGGCGAAAAUAAGAAGCUAACGAUGGAAAGUUAAGUCAUCAUACCAUCUUCAUGAUCUGAUUCUAGUUCUGAGAUCUCAAUUUGGAGAUAAACUUCUAAACCAUUGAUGAUUGGAGGAAGUGUUGAAUUUUCAGUUUUAAAAAAAGAAAAGCUGUGUUGCUUUUGUGGGAAUUUCAG
This is a non-coding RNA of Benincasa hispida (wax gourd), 870 nucleotides long. The record is from RefSeq and is a predicted model, not a curated record. NCBI's taxonomy places the organism in Eukaryota, Viridiplantae, Streptophyta, Magnoliopsida, Cucurbitales, Cucurbitaceae.